GACGAACGCUGGCGGCGUGCUUAACACAUGCAAGUCGAACGGAAAGGCCCUGCUUUUGUGGGUUGCUCGAGUGGCGAACGGGUGAGUAACACGUGAGUAACCUGCCCUUGACUUUGGGAUAACUUCAGGGAACUGGGGCUCAUACCGGAUAGGAGCUCCUGCUGCAUGGUGGUGGUUGGAAAGUUUCGGCGGUUGGGGAUGGACUCGCGGCUUAUCAGCUUGUUGGUGGGGUAGUGGCUUACCAAGGCUUUGACGGGUAGCCGGCCUGAGAGGGUGACCGGCCACAUUGGGACUGAGAUAUGGCCCAGACUCCUACGGGAGGCAGCAGUGGGGAAUAUUGCACAAUGGGCGGAAGCCUGAUGCAGCAAUGUCGCGUGCGGGAUGACGGCUUUCGGGUUGUAAACCGCUUUCGACUGUGACGAAGAGUGAGUGACGGUAAUGGGUAAAGAAGCACCGGCUAACUACGUG
This 468-nucleotide ribosomal RNA is filed under the name uncultured bacterium. RNAcentral's name for it is "partial 16S ribosomal RNA". It matches the Rfam family "Bacterial small subunit ribosomal RNA", at positions 28 to 507 of the family's 1533-position model. The record is from RNAcentral.